This is a long non-coding RNA of Spinacia oleracea (spinach), 1722 nucleotides long. RefSeq lists it as uncharacterized. Lineage: Eukaryota; Viridiplantae; Streptophyta; Magnoliopsida; Caryophyllales; Amaranthaceae. The transcript has 4 exons. The record is from RefSeq and is a predicted model, not a curated record.
CAAAUAAACUCCUGAAUUAGUGGAGUAAGUUACGCACAUCAAGGCUGUAAAUUAGCUUUGUCCUAUUGUAUAUAUUGUAAAGCAGAAGGCAAAGCAAUUACGAACCACAACCAACAAUCUAAAUACAAUUCACAACACCUCAUUCAAAAAAAAAAACCUAAAGCCACACCAAAUAUUGGUAAAAUUAGUACAAUGAAAAAUCAAAUUCAAAGCUAAACAAAUCAGUCCAAAUUAGACGAAAUAUCAGUAUGAAUAGUAAGGCUCCCAUCAGAGCACAAAAGAACGUAAGCAGAAAAAUCUUCACCACCACAACGGCGACGAUGGCAUCGGCGUCAACGGAAGUAGCAGCCGGAAAGCCACUGCAAGGGGAAGAAAAUCACCAUCUUUGUUCGAACAUACGACUUGCGCAACACCGAUGUUAAAUACCCCAUCACAAUUUAAGGACAAAUUAAUAUCCACCAAGAUACAGAAGAUCAAAAGAAUUGGUACAUCUCCGUCCAGAUCUGGAGAUUUGAACCACACACGAAAACUCGGGUAGGAUAGAAAUUCAGAGAUGUGGGUAGUUUUGCCAUUUUUGCAGAUGUAAUAAUGUAUAUUGAGUGGAAAUUAUAGGGAGGAAGAGAGAGAAUGAGUGAGUAACUAUGGUUUGGUGGUUUAGUUUUGUGGUUCUUUUAGGAAAUUGGUGGUUUAGUUUUGUGGUUCUUUUAGGAAAUGAGAGAGACGUGGUAAGCAGAGUUCAGUUGUUGACCAUACAGUUGUGAGGCAAUUACCGGUAAUUGGUUUCCAUUUUUCAAGUCAAUUCUCAUUUUUUAUUUUUAUAUUUACUUUGUGGUAAAGAUCAGUAUCCAAUAAAAUAACUUCCUGGCUUUUUGAUUUUUUUUAAUUUAAUGAUAAUGAUAUUAUUGUCUGUAUUGUAUUAUGGUGAAAACUUCAUCCAUGUGUUUAUUUAGCUUUCUAAGCUUUUCUUCCUAUAAGGCAAAGAGUAACAAUGUAGUAUCUCUAUUAUAUAAGCCAGCUCCUGAGGGCUUUUAAGUAAAUUAACUUUUCGUGUCCCCAAAGAAAUUUACAAUAACACUUCACACUUUCACCCAGCUACAAGUAUGUUGUAUAAACAGAUUUUGUAAUUUUGAAAACUGAGCUACAUCCCUCUAAUAUCUCGCCCAAAUCAGGAAAGGGAUUUAAAAAUCCCUAUAAUCUCUCCCUUUAACCUCUCAGCUCACGUCAUUAAAGAAAAAUAACCAAAUAAAAUUACAAAUUGAUUACAGUUUCCAAAACAAAAUCCCUACAAUCUCUCACCUCUCACGUCAGGGACAAAAAUCAAACAAAAUUAUAAAUUGAUUACAUUUUCUAAAACUACUAAUUAUCUUUUUUCUCAUUCAUCAAAUCACUGUAAACUGAGUUCCAUUAGAGAGUUCGUUGAUAGCAAGCUCCACCACCGCCAAUACAGGUUUUACGAUUUGAAGUUCACCACGCAUACAAUUACCAAUGACACAAGUUUCAUCCCGGGAAGAAUGUUGGAAUUGGCAAGGACCAUACAAUCUUUGCUCUAAUUGAUGGAUUAGUGAAAUUUGAGAAGUAUGGUCCUGACAAGAAAAAGGUGAGUGUUUAUCCACGAGAAAUACAGCCUGAAAACCCCAACAGCUACAAAGCAAGAAGAGAAGGAUAUUCUUUCCAAUCACAGCUAAUCCUGGCAUCUGAUGCCACUGAUAAUGCUGAUGAAAG